GAUGAACGCUGGCGGCGUGCCUAAUACAUGCAAGUCGAGCGAACGGACGAGAAGCUUGCUUCUCUGAUGUUAGCGGCGGACGGGUGAGUAACACGUGGAUAACCUACCUAUAAGACUGGGAUGACUUCGGGAAACCGGAGCUAAUACCGGAUAAUAUUUUGAACCGCAUGGUUCAAAAGUGAAAGACGGUCUUGCUGUCACUUAUAGAUGGAUCCGCGCUGCAUUAGCUAGUUGGUAAGGUAACGGCUUACCAAGGCAACGAUGCAUAGCCGACCUGAGAGGGUGAUCGGCCACACUGGAACUGAGACACGGUCCAGACUCCUACGGGAGGCAGCAGUAGGGAAUCUUCCGCAAUGGGCGAAGGCCUGACGGAGCAACGCCGCGUGAGUGAUGAAGGUCUUCGGAUCGUAAAACUCUGUUAUUAGGGAAGAACAUAUGUGUAAGUAACUGUGCACAUCUUGACGGUACCUAAUCAGAAAGCCACGGCUAACUACGUG
RNAcentral lists this ribosomal RNA (497 nucleotides) under uncultured bacterium. RNAcentral describes it as "partial 16S ribosomal RNA". It matches the Rfam family "Bacterial small subunit ribosomal RNA", at positions 28 to 507 of the family's 1533-position model. The record is from RNAcentral.